UCCCGUUGAUCCUGCCGGACCGCACUGCUAUCGGGAUGGGACUGAGACAUGCUAGUUGAGCGCCUUCCAGCCAUGUGGGAGGCGCAGCGCACAGCUCAGUAACACGUGGCUAACCUGCGCCCUUGGGACGAGAACAACCCCGGGAAACUGGGGAUAAUCCUCGAUAGGUGAAGAACUCUGGAAUGAGUCUUUGCUUAAAAGGCGUUGGAUCAUGCUUUCAGCGUCGCCCAAGGAUGGGGCCGCGACCGAUCAGGUCGUUGGUGAGGUAAUGGCCCACCAAGCCUUUUACCGGUGCGGGCCGUGAGAGCGGGAGCCCGGAGAUGGGCACUGAGACAAGGGCCCAGGUCCUACGGGGCGCAGCAGUCGCGAAAACUUUGCAAUACACGAAAGUGUGACAGGGUCAUCCCGAGUGCCGACCGCUGAGGUUGGCUUUUACCCAGCCUAGAAAGCUGGGGGAAUAAGGAGAGGGCAAGUCUGGUGUCAGCCGCCGCGGUAAUACCAGCUCUCCGAGUGGUGUGGACGUUUAUUGGGCCUAAAGCAUCCGUAGCUGGCUGAACAAGUCCCCUGUUAAACCCACCGAUUUAAUCGUUGGUCUGCGGGGGAUACUGCUCGGCUAGGGGACGAGAGAGGCAGACGGUAUUCCCGGGGUAGGGGUGAAAUCCUAUAAUCCCGAGAAGACCACCAGUGGCGAAGGCUGUCUGCUAGAACGCGCCCGACGGUGAGGGAUGAAAGCUGGGGGAGCGAACCGGAUUAGAUACCCGGGUAGUCCCAGCUGUAAACGAUGCAGACUAGGUGUUUGGACGGCCACGUGCCGUUCUAGUGCCGCAGGGAAGCUGUUAAGUCUGCCGCCUGGGGAGUACGGUCGCAAGACUGAAACUUAAAGGAAUAUUG
This 891-nucleotide ribosomal RNA is filed under the name uncultured archaeon. Its description in RNAcentral is "bacterial SSU rRNA". It matches the Rfam family "Archaeal small subunit ribosomal RNA", at positions 1 to 869 of the family's 1478-position model. The record is from RNAcentral.